Molecule: ribosomal RNA, 2254 nt
Filed under: Acinetobacter sp. 175
Lineage: Bacteria; Pseudomonadati; Pseudomonadota; Gammaproteobacteria; Moraxellales; Moraxellaceae
Description: bacterial SSU rRNA
Rfam family: Bacterial small subunit ribosomal RNA (bases 1-1511)
Source: RNAcentral
AUUGAACGCUGGCGGCAGGCUUAACACAUGCAAGUCGAGCGGAGAGAGGUAGCUUGCUACUGAUCUUAGCGGCGGACGGGUGAGUAAUGCUUAGGAAUCUGCCUAUUAGUGGGGGACAACAUUUCGAAAGGAAUGCUAAUACCGCAUACGUCCUACGGGAGAAAGCAGGGGAUCUUCGGACCUUGCGCUAAUAGAUGAGCCUAAGUCGGAUUAGCUAGUUGGUGGGGUAAAGGCCUACCAAGGCGACGAUCUGUAGCGGGUCUGAGAGGAUGAUCCGCCACACUGGGACUGAGACACGGCCCAGACUCCUACGGGAGGCAGCAGUGGGGAAUAUUGGACAAUGGGCGCAAGCCUGAUCCAGCCAUGCCGCGUGUGUGAAGAAGGCCUUAUGGUUGUAAAGCACUUUAAGCGAGGAGGAGGCUACUUUAGUUAAUACCUAGAGAUAGUGGACGUUACUCGCAGAAUAAGCACCGGCUAACUCUGUGCCAGCAGCCGCGGUAAUACAGAGGGUGCAAGCGUUAAUCGGAUUUACUGGGCGUAAAGCGCGCGUAGGCGGCUAAUUAAGUCAAAUGUGAAAUCCCCGAGCUUAACUUGGGAAUUGCAUUCGAUACUGGUUAGCUAGAGUGUGGGAGAGGAUGGUAGAAUUCCAGGUGUAGCGGUGAAAUGCGUAGAGAUCUGGAGGAAUACCGAUGGCGAAGGCAGCCAUCUGGCCUAACACUGACGCUGAGGUGCGAAAGCAUGGGGAGCAAACAGGAUUAGAUACCCUGGUAGUCCAUGCCGUAAACGAUGUCUACUAGCCGUUGGGGCCUUUGAGGCUUUAGUGGCGCAGCUAACGCGAUAAGUAGACCGCCUGGGGAGUACGGUCGCAAGACUAAAACUCAAAUGAAUUGACGGGGGCCCGCACAAGCGGUGGAGCAUGUGGUUUAAUUCGAUGCAACGCGAAGAACCUUACCUGGCCUUGACAUAGUAAGAACUUUCCAGAGAUGGAUUGGUGCCUUCGGGAACUUACAUACAGGUGCUGCAUGGCUGUCGUCAGCUCGUGUCGUGAGAUGUUGGGUUAAGUCCCGCAACGAGCGCAACCCUUUUCCUUAUUUGCCAGCGAGUAAUGUCGGGAACUUUAAGGAUACUGCCAGUGACAAACUGGAGGAAGGCGGGGACGACGUCAAGUCAUCAUGGCCCUUACGGCCAGGGCUACACACGUGCUACAAUGGUCGGUACAAAGGGUUGCUACCUAGCGAUAGGAUGCUAAUCUCAAAAAGCCGAUCGUAGUCCGGAUUGGAGUCUGCAACUCGACUCCAUGAAGUCGGAAUCGCUAGUAAUCGCGGAUCAGAAUGCCGCGGUGAAUACGUUCCCGGGCCUUGUACACACCGCCCGUCACACCAUGGGAGUUUGUUGCACCAGAAGUAGGUAGUCUAACCGCAAGGAGGACGCUUACCACGGUGUGGCCGAUGACUGGGGUGAAGUCGUAACAAGGUAGCCGUAGGGGAACCUGCGGCUGGAUCACCUCCUUAACGAAAGAUUGACGAUUGGUAAGAAUCCACAACAAGUUGUUCUUCAUAGAUGUAUCUGAGGGUCUGUAGCUCAGUUGGUUAGAGCACACGCUUGAUAAGCGUGGGGUCACAAGUUCAAGUCUUGUCAGACCCACCAUGACUUUGACUGGUUGAAGUUAUAGAUAAAAAGAUACAUGACUGAUGAUGUAAGCUGGGGACUUAGCUUAGUUGGUAGAGCGCCUGCUUUGCACGCAGGAGGUCAGGAGUUCGACUCUCCUAGUCUCCACCAGAACUUAAGAGAAGUUCGGAUUACAGAAAUUAGUAAAUAGAGAUUGUGAGAUCUUGGUUUAUUAACUUCUGUGAUUUAAGUAUCACGGUAUUAAGCAUGACCUGACGAAGGCGUGUUUAUUCAUUAACAGAUUGGCAAAAUUGAGUCUGAAAUAAAUUGUUCACUCAAGAGUUUAGAUUAAGCAAUUAAUCUGAAUGAAUUGAGAACUAGCAAAUUAACUGAAUCAAGCGUUUUGGUAUAUGAAUUUAGAUUGAAGCUGUACAGUGUUUAAAUACACAGUACUUCAAACUGUAAGAGAUUGAUGAGAAAUCAUUGGUCAUGUCUUAUUACUCCUUGUAGGUAAUAACGACUGUUUGGGGUUGUAUAGUCAAGUAAUUAAGUGCAUGUGGUGGAUGCCUUGGCAGUCAGAGGCGAUGAAAGACGUAAUAGCCUGCGAUAAGCUCCGGGGAGGCGGCAAAUAUCCUUUGAUCCGGAG